GACGAACGCUGGCGGCGUGCUUAACACAUGCAAGUCGAACGGUGAACCUCUUCGUAGGGGAUCAGUGGCGAACGGGUGAGUAACACGUGGCCAACCUGCCCCCGGCUCUGGGAUAACUCCAAGAAAUUGGGGCUAAUACCGGAUGUUCACCGCUUCCCGCAUGGGUGGUGGUGAAAAGGGUUUCCGGCUGGGGAUGGGCCCGCGGCCUAUCAGCUUGUUGGUGGGGUAGUGGCCUCCCAAGGGGAAGACGGGUAGCCGGCCUGGGAGGGUGACCGGCCACACUGGGACUGAGAGACGGCCCAGACUCGUACGGGAGGCAGCAGUGGGGAAUAUUGCGCAAUGGGCGGAAGCCUGACGAAGAGACGCCGCGUGGGGGAUGAAGGCCUUGGGGUUGUAAACCUCUUUAAGCAGGGACGAAGCGGAAGUGACGGUACCUGCAGAAGAAGCACCGGCCAACUACGUG
RNAcentral lists this ribosomal RNA (463 nucleotides) under uncultured bacterium. RNAcentral's name for it is "partial 16S ribosomal RNA". It matches the Rfam family "Bacterial small subunit ribosomal RNA", at positions 28 to 507 of the family's 1533-position model. The record is from RNAcentral.